This 725-nucleotide ribosomal RNA is filed under the name uncultured Planctomycetota bacterium. Its description in RNAcentral is "bacterial SSU rRNA". It matches the Rfam family "Bacterial small subunit ribosomal RNA", at positions 70 to 829 of the family's 1533-position model. The record is from RNAcentral. Lineage: Bacteria; Pseudomonadati; Planctomycetota.
UAAAGCCCCUUCGGGGGUGUAUAAAGUGGCGAAAGGGCGAGUAAUGCAUUCCUACGUGCCUCGAGGUCAGGGAUAGCCCAGGGAAACCUGGAGUAAUACCUGAUGUGGUCUCCGGAUCAAAGAUUUAUCGCCUUGAGAGCGGGGAAUGUCCUAUCAGCUUGUUGGUGAGGUAACGGCUCACCAAGGCAAAGACGGGUAGCGGGUGUGAGAGCACGACCCGCCGCAUCGGGACUGAGACACUGCCCGGACUCCUACGGGAGGCUGCAGUAACGAAUCUUCCGCAAUGCGCGAAAGCGUGACGGAGCAAUGCCGCGUGCAGGAUGAAGCCCCUCGGGGUGUAAACUGCUGUCAGGGUUUAGGAACACAAUGACCAGACCCAAAGGAAGAGGCGACUAACUCUGUGCCAGCAGUCGCGGUAAUACAGAGGCCUCGAGCGUUAAUCGGAAUCACUGGGCUUAAAGCGUACGUAGGCGGGCGCGCAGGCAUCUUGUGAAAUCCCACGGCUCAACCGUGGAAUUGCUUGGUGAACCGCGCGUCUUGAGUCGGGUAGGGGCUGCCGGAACGAUAGGUGGAGCGGUGAAAUGCGUUGAUAUCUAUCGGAACGCCAAAGGUGAAGACAGGCAGCUGGGCCCGCACUGACGCUGAGGUACGAAAGCGUGGGGAGCAAACGGGAUUAGAUACCCCGGUAGUCCACGCCGUAAACGAUGUGCACUGGAUCGAGGGGG